ACUGUGAAUUUUAUGACUUUCACCAAAAUUACUGUGUAUUUGUUCAUUUAUUAAUUGUUUGGAGACCCCUUGUGGCGACAUUAAGUAAUUAGUGGGUCAUUUGACUUAAUUGUGAAACCACGCCUCCACCCCCAGCAAAGAAAUGUGUCUGAUGCUGAGAGGUGAUGCAUUAUUGUAAAUGCCCACUGUCGCCAGAGGAUAUAUGUUUCUCCUUGUCUCCAUGUUGUUACAGUAAACAACGCAUGAAACGCAGUUCUCCGUGUCCGCCUGUGAUUUAUGUGCUGUCGGAUGAGAGGCGUUACAU
Molecule: long non-coding RNA, 304 nt
Organism: Cyprinus carpio (common carp)
Lineage: Eukaryota; Metazoa; Chordata; Actinopteri; Cypriniformes; Cyprinidae
Exons: 3
Source: RefSeq, a predicted model, not a curated record